AGAGUUUGAUCCUGGCUCAGAAUGAACGCUGGCGGCGUGCCUAACACAUGCAAGUCGCACGAGAAAGUCUGAUUUCGGUUGGGCGAGUAAAGUGGCGCACGGGUGAGUAACGCGUAGGUAACCUACCCCCGGGUCCGGGAUAACAGUGCGAAAGCGCUGCUAAUACCGGAUACGCCCUUGGGACGGGAGUCUCAAGGUGAAAGUCGGCCUCUCGAAGAAGCCGGUGUUCGGGGAUGGGCCUGCGUCCUAUCAGCUAGUUGGUAGGGUAACGGCCUACCAAGGCUACGACGGGUAGCUGGUCUGAGAGGAUGAUCAGCCACACUGGCACUGGAACACGGGUCAGACUCCUACGGGAGGCAGCAGUGAGGAAUUUUGCGCAAUGGGAGCAAGCCUGAUCCAGCGACGCCGCGUGAGUGAUGAAGGCCUUUGGGUCGUAAAGCUCUGUCAGCAGGGAAGAACGGCCGUGCGGUUAGUACCCGUGCGGAUUGACGGUACCUGCAGAGGAAGCACCGGCUAACUCCGUGCCAGCAGCCGCGGUAAUACGGAGGGUGCGAGCGUUAAUCGGAAUUACUGGGCGUAAAGGGCGCGUAGGCGACCGAUCAAGUCAGAUGUGAAAGCCCACGGCUUAACCGUGUGAAGUGCAUCUGAAACUGGUCGGCUUGAGUAUCGGAGAGGAAAGUGGAAUUCCCGGUGUAGAGGUGAAAUUCGUAGAUAUCGGGAGGAAUACCGGUGGCGAAGGCGACUUUCUGGACGAAUACUGACGCUGAGGCGCGAAAGCGUGGGGAGCAAACAGGAUUAGAUACCCUGGUAGUCC
This 814-nucleotide ribosomal RNA is filed under the name uncultured bacterium. RNAcentral describes it as "bacterial SSU rRNA". It matches the Rfam family "Bacterial small subunit ribosomal RNA", at positions 8 to 796 of the family's 1533-position model. The record is from RNAcentral.